UACGGGGGGUGCGAGCGUUGUCCGGAAUCACUGGGCGUAAAGGGCGCGUAGGUGGUUUGAUAAGGGUGUGGUGAAAGUCCGGGGCUCAACCCCGGAUCUGCCGUGCCGACUGUCAAACUCGAGGGCUGUAGAGGCAGACGGAAUUCCAGGUGUAGCGGUGAAAUGCGUAGAUAUCUGGAGGAAUACCGGUGGCGAAGGCGGCAUCCUGGACCGACAUUGACGCUGAGGAGCGAAAGUGUGGGGAGCGAACAGG
Molecule: ribosomal RNA, 253 nt
Filed under: uncultured bacterium
Lineage: Bacteria
Description: partial 16S ribosomal RNA
Rfam family: Bacterial small subunit ribosomal RNA
Source: RNAcentral